AUGAGCGAUGCUGCGUCAGGUUCGGGCCAGGGCGCCACAGAUCUAGCAGCCAUGAUGAAAGAAUUGGGAUUGAAGGAGGAGGACCUUCAGGAUGUUGUGGUUGAAGAUGAAGAACUAGAAGCGGAGGCGGCCCGCUGGAUGGCAAUCGCUAGGGUACACACGGAGAAACCCUACAGCCAAUACUGGUUCUUCAGGAACAUGAGAAUCGCUUGGGAUCUGGCGAAGGAGGUGAAGAUAAGGCCAUUAGAAGACAAUCUGUACACCAUGCAGUUCGGUUGUCUCGGCGACUGGGAA
Molecule: ribosomal RNA, 294 nt
Filed under: Triticum aestivum (bread wheat)
Lineage: Eukaryota; Viridiplantae; Streptophyta; Magnoliopsida; Poales; Poaceae
Description: partial small subunit ribosomal RNA
Source: RNAcentral